AUGGCAGACUCAGGCCCCGACUGCCAAAGCUACAGGGUGACCCGGAGCCCGGCACUCCAGUCCACGUGCAACAGCCCUCCGGGACCGCGUGGAAGAGCACACCGAGAAGAGACACCCGAAGCCAUCUGGGCUCCGGCCGGCGGUCUCUGCUGGGAGCCAGGAUUCAUCUACGGGGAGCCGGAGCAGAAACGCUCCCGCUUUUCCCAGCACACAUCUGAGCUCCCCCCCGGACACCCCGGGGCGAAGAGCGCGCUCAGCCAGCAGCAGAGCCACGGCCCGGCACGGCUGGAGCCAGCCCUGCAGAGCACUGCUUCCUCACGCCCUCGCCCGGCUCCUGCGCUGCUGCCUGUCCCCCCAUCCCAACACCCCCACGGAAGGCAGCCCCAGGGCAGCACACGGGGACAAGAGCCCGGAGCUCUCGCCCUCGCCGCCACUCGGUUUGGCCCCGUCUCUGCCCACCCACCCGCUGCUGGCGCUCGCCACGGAGCGGCACAAGUCUCUUGGAAACACGCGGCCGUCAGGAGGAGGAGGAGAGCAAGGCGGGCGGGGGCCGUGGCCCCCCACACUCGUGCCAUGCUGCCACCACCGCCGCUGCAGCCACAGCGAGUGCUGCUGGGCGGCGCAGAACGCCUGGGGCGCACGCUGAGCAUUGUGAGCUCACGGCUCCAGGCGCUGUGCCCCCGCGUCCCCAUGACGCGCAGCUGUUCCGCCACCACGGCCGGCUUCCCCCUGGGCUCGCCGUGCGCCUGCCGUGCUGGGGGAGGAUUCGCAGGCAUCCGGAGCGGCGGGAGACCGCUGAUGUCACACGGACGGCACGGAAAUGGGGAAUGCUGGAACGGCUCGGCUGGGCAGGGACAUGAAAGACACGGAGACGCCGUCAAAGCAGAACGAAAAUCACUUCAGUGCUGUUCUUACUGCCGCGUGCGAAUCAGGAGAUUCGUUUUCUCUCUUAACGCCGAAACAGAAGCCGGUUCUUCAGUGACAUUAUAUUUGUUAUCACAGAUGGCAAACUGA
RNAcentral lists this long non-coding RNA (1014 nucleotides) under Phasianus colchicus (ring-necked pheasant). RNAcentral's name for it is "lncRNA (ENSPCLG00000013438.1)". Lineage: Eukaryota; Metazoa; Chordata; Aves; Galliformes; Phasianidae. The record is from RNAcentral.